This 474-nucleotide ribosomal RNA is filed under the name uncultured bacterium. Its description in RNAcentral is "SSU rRNA". It matches the Rfam family "Bacterial small subunit ribosomal RNA", at positions 26 to 518 of the family's 1533-position model. The record is from RNAcentral.
AGGACGAACGCUGGCGGCGUGCUUAACACAUGCAAGUCGAACGGAAAGGCCCUUCGGGGUACUCGAGUGGCGAACGGGUGAGUAACACGUGAGCAAUCUGCCCCUAGCUCUGGGAUAGCUCCGGGAAACCGGGAUUAAUACCAGAUAUUACUACGGCCGACAUCAGCUGUGGUGGAAAGAAUUUCGGCUAGGGAUGAGCUCGCGGCCUAUCAGCUUGUUGGUGGGGUAAAGGCCCACCAAGGCGACGACGGGUAGCCGGCCUGAGAGGGCGACCGGCCACACUGGGACUGAGACACGGCCCCAGACUCCUACGGGAGGCAGCAGUGGGGAAUAUUGCGCAAUGGGCGAAAGCCUGACGCAGCGACGCCGCGUGCGGGAUGAAGGCCUUCGGGUUGUAACCGCUUUCAGCAGGGACGAAGCGAAAGUGACGGUACCUGCAGAAGAAGCGCCGGCUAACUACGUGCCAGCAGCCGC